Molecule: ribosomal RNA, 551 nt
Filed under: uncultured bacterium
Lineage: Bacteria
Description: partial 16S ribosomal RNA
Rfam family: Bacterial small subunit ribosomal RNA
Source: RNAcentral
UGGGGAAUAUUGCACAAUGGGCGAAAGCCUGAUGCAGCGACGCCGCGUGAGGGAUGACGGCCUUCGGGUUGUAAACCUCUUUCAGCAGGGAAGAAGCGAAAGUGACGGUACCUGCAGAAGAAGCGCCGGCUAACUACGUGCCAGCAGCCGCGGUAAUACGUAGGGCGCAAGCGUUGUCCGGAAUUAUUGGGCGUAAAGAGCUCGUAGGCGGUUAGUCGCGUCUGCUGUGAAAACUCGAGGCUCAACCUCGGGCUUGCAGUGGGUACGGGCUGACUAGAGUGCGGUAGGGGUGACUGGAAUUCCUGGUGUAGCGGUGGAAUGCGCAGAUAUCAGGAGGAACACCGAUGGCGAAGGCAGGUCACUGGGCCGCAACUGACGCUGAGGAGCGAAAGCAUGGGGAGCGAACAGGAUUAGAUACCCUGGUAGUCCAUGCCGUAAACGUUGGGCACUAGGUGUGGGGUCCAUUCCACGGAUUCCGUGCCGCAGCAAACGCAUUAAGUGCCCCCGCCUGGGGGAGUACGGCCGCAAGGCUAAAACUCAAAGGAAUUGAC